Molecule: long non-coding RNA, 668 nt
Organism: Bombus impatiens (common eastern bumble bee)
Lineage: Eukaryota; Metazoa; Arthropoda; Insecta; Hymenoptera; Apidae
Exons: 3
Source: RefSeq, a predicted model, not a curated record
CUUUAUUCGUUUUAUCUUCUCCCAUUUAUUCGUGUAACACGAAUUUUUCUUACGAAUUCUACUUACUCAAAUUUGCAAAUGAUAAAUCAAACGAAUGAAAGAAACGGCGGUACUAAUCGAAACUUCUAUUUUUGCAGGAGACCGCUUGCCUUUAAUUAAGAUAUGAAUCAAGUUCUCUGUCGCGACGGACCAAUUAAAGAAAUAAAUCCACUGAUCAUUAAUUUCACCGGUAAUGAACUUUUGGUUAAUAUCUUGUUUUUCACGAAAAGGAAACACUCUUUUCGUUGUUUUCUUUUAUCUUUUAAUUAAGUGUAUUCUUCCGCGGUAAAAAAUCACAGAAAACAAGAAAUUAUACACACAAUGGGAAAUUAUUUAGGCUGACAUUUCUUUCUCGUUCAAUUUUGUUUCUUCUUCUAACUAAGCUUAUAUGAUAAUUUAAUAAACUAAAAAUCUAAAUUCAUCUUCUAAUCAGUCAAUGUACACGUGCACGAACUACUAUCCUUUGAGUCUAUUAACAAUAAAAGAAAAAUAGUUUUAAAUAACAAAUUUAUUUAUUAAGACAACUGUUGUGCAAGCUAUUGCUUUUUGUUGAUGAUAUUCGGAGCAAUAUUCCUCAUAAUAGACGUAUUUUUUAAUUAGAGUUUAAGCUUUAUAUUUUAUGAAUUAUU